CCUACGGGGGGCAGCAGUAGGGAAUCUUCCGCAAUGGACGAAAGUCUGAUGGAGCAACGCCGCGUGAGUGAAGAAGGGUUUCGGCUCGUAAAGCUCUGUUGGCAGUGAAGAAAGAUAGAGGUAGUAACUGGCCUUUAUUUGACGGUAACUACUUAGAAAGUCACGGCUAACUACGUGCCAGCAGCCGCGGUAAUACGGAGGUGGCGAGCGUUGGCCGGAUUUAUUGGGCGUAAAGCGCGUGCAGGCGGUACAUUAAGUCUGAUGUGAAAGCCUUGGGCUCAACGGGAGAAUUGCAUAAGAAACUGGUGAACUGGAGUGCGGAAGAGGAGAGUGGAAUUCCAUGUGUAGCGGUGGAAUGCGUAGAUAUAUGGAAGAACACCAGUGGCGAAGGCGGCUAUCUGGUCUGCAACUGACGCUGAGGCGCGAAAGCGUGGGUAGCGAACAGGAUUAGAUACCCUUGUAGUC
This 465-nucleotide ribosomal RNA is filed under the name uncultured bacterium. RNAcentral describes it as "partial 16S ribosomal RNA". It matches the Rfam family "Bacterial small subunit ribosomal RNA", at positions 338 to 795 of the family's 1533-position model. The record is from RNAcentral.